This 726-nucleotide ribosomal RNA is filed under the name uncultured bacterium. RNAcentral's name for it is "bacterial SSU rRNA". It matches the Rfam family "Bacterial small subunit ribosomal RNA", at positions 111 to 823 of the family's 1533-position model. The record is from RNAcentral.
UAACACGUAGGGAACCUGCCCGCGCACCGGGAAUACGCUCUGGAAACGGAGAACAAAUCCCGAUGUACAGGAAGGAGGCAUCUUCUUUCUGUGAAACAUCCUUUAGGGGAUGGGGCGCGGAUGGACCUGCGGUGCAUUAGUUUGUUGGCGGGGUAAAGGCCCACCAAGACGAUGAUGCAUAGCCGGCCUGAGAGGGCGGACGGCCACAUUGGGACUGAGACACGGCCCAGACUCCUGCGGGAGGCAGCAGUAGGGAAUUUUCGUCAAUGGGCGCAAGCCUGAACGAGCGAUGCCGCGUGAGUGAAGAAGGCCUUCGGGUCGUAAAGCUCUGUUGCGGGGGAAAAAAGGCAGCAUCAGGAAAUGGGUGCUGACUGAUGGUGCCCCGCCAGAAAGUCACGGCUAACUACGUGCCAGCAGCCGCGGUAAUACGUAGGUGGCGAGCGUUAUCUGGAAUGAUUGGGCGUAAAGGGUGCGCAGGCGGUCCUGCAAGUCUGGAGUGAAACGCAUGAGCUCAACUCAUGCAUGGCUUUGGAAACUGGAGGACUGGAGAGCAGGAGAGGGCGGUGGAACUCCAUGUGUAGCGGUAAAAUGCGUAGAUAUAUGGAAGAACACCAGUGGCGAAGGCGGCCGCCUGGCCUGUUGCUGACGCUGAGGCACGAAAGCGUGGGGAGCAAAUAGGAUUAGAUACCCUAGUAGUCCACGCCGUAAACGAUGAGGACCAAGUGU